GUACACAGUUGUGUAACCGGUAAAGAUAGUGGACAGUAUUGACCCCAAAAGGUUGCUUCAUAACCCAUCCUUGCAGUCAACCCCCACCCUACCCCACCCCCUGGGCCCCACAUCAGAUAACCACCCACCUACCUUCUGACCUUGUGGUUUUGCUGUCAGAGAUGGACGGAAUAGUACAGUCGCUCCACAUGGUGCACAUGUUGCCGAUGAUCCUCACCUGUGUUGUUUCCCAAAUUUAGACUUUGUUCCUUUCAAACCCAGGUGGUUUGGAAGAAUUAGAUGACUCCAGAUAGUUUUAGAAAACUCCAUCUGACUUCUCUACAGACAGAGGAGAGCAGCCGGAACACUGACGGAGAAUUUGAGGACUUGGCUAGGAAUGCCAUCUUCAGAAUUCUGACCUCUCAGAGCCCAGAGAGAACCACAAGCUGGGGACUGCACUUUGUUAGGUAGCCUGAAGACCCAUCCAAAAUACCAUGGAAGGAGGGCAUUGAACAUGCAGGUAAGCAGUGUAUUCAAAAUGUCCAAAAGAAGGAGGUAUUUUACUGAUGGGCCACAAGACACCAGGGGUCCUUUCAAGCUAUAGUGUAUGUCAAGUGAAUGGAGGCAGCUAGUAAGGGGGUCCGUUUAUGGAAUUACAUUUAGAUCAUGGAUUCAGGCCCUAGACAAAAAGAAGACAGGGCCCUUAUCAAGCAGGAGGAUAUAAACUAAGAGAUCAAGAUUCAUUUACAGAGAAGGUAGGUACCAAGAUGUGAUUGACUGCCACAGUGCAAAUGGCUUCCUUUGGUUUACCAUUAGGUCAAGCUGAAACCCCAUGUCAUCAAGGUCCUUGAUGGGGGUGAGAGAGAUGCUCAGUGGGGUAGAAAGUGGAAACAAUAGGAAAGCCUGAACUCUACACCAUCAGUGGCCUUGGAGUUCCCAUCUUCAGUUGACAAACACCAAAUGCAGAUUUGCACAAGGUUAGUGGAUAGGCAGGUAGGAUGUGCAUAUUGACAGUCUUCUCGAGACCUCAGAGGAUUGCAGCAAGAUGCUGGGUGGGGGACUAUAAUACCCAUAUCAAAGGUGCCCAGGAGCACCUUAAAGGGAGAACUGCAUAGAUCCUCUAGCCCACCAAGGAACCCUAAGCAGUUGAGUAUAGUUGAACUAUAGUUCAAGGAGACUGGGAUUUUGUAGAGCAGUUGGCACAGACAAUUAUCAGGUGCUUUUCUUCUGAGCACUAACAUCUCUGCGUAUCUAUAAACUUCUGGUAGUCAUAGGGAACUUCUACAACAGGGGCCAUCACUCUCCAGGGAAACUCACUGGGCAACAUGGAGACUAUCCUGUUGUGUCUGCAUGAUCUUCCCUGGAGAAGGCUUUGGGCUUUAAUGUCAGACAGAAAUAGUUGCCAAUUUUUACUUUACUUCUUAUGAAUUGAGCUUGAACAAAUGCUACAGACCCACUGAUGCAGUUUCCUCAGGAUGAUUCUUACCUGAUUGGGUUGCUUUGGUGGGUUUUACAUUGUAUAGUUAUUCACUAAUAUAAUGUAACACGAACCUCUCAUAUUUAGUCGCAUACAAAAAUUAUGUGUGCAGAACUGUGGAUCAGGAAUUUGGACAGAACAGCAAGCGUGGCUACUUGCCUCUUACCUGUACCAGUUAUUUUUCUCACUGUGCGACAAAUUCCUCACGUAGCAGCUUAAUGGAGGAGGGUUUAUUUUGGUUGUGGUUUCAGGAUGGCAUUGUCCUUCAGAAAGGAGAACAUAUGGCUCAGGCUAUGGAUGUGGGUGGGUACAGCUGUUGCUUAUCCCAUUGCGGCAGAUCAGGAUGUAGACGAUGAGAACAGAAGCUGACAUAGGCAUCUGCAAAGCCCAUCCUCCAUGACCCCUCUCCACUGACUAGACCUCAGCCAUCUUCCCAAACAACUCUUUGGCUGGGAUCAUGAGUUUCAAACCAUACCACUCCACGAUGCGAGUCUAUUAGUAGAGGGGGAUACCUGAGACUAGGUAAUUUUAUAAGAGUUUACUCAUCUCACAGUUCUAUAUGUUUUGCUGUUUCCAUGAGGCCUCAUUUUGAGAAACCCAGCAUUUCUGGGACCUACCUUAGUUCCUUUGGAGUGGAGCUUCUGGUGACUUCCCAUAGAGUCCCACACCUCUGAAAAAUACCAUGAGGAACAAUCCUUUCGUACAACAGCCCUGAGAAGACAAACCACAUGUAAACCACUUGCAGGGGUCAGCAAGAUGCCUCAACAGAUAGAGACGCCGUGAAGCCCGAUGACCAGAAUUCAAGUCCACGGCGUCCACAUGGUAGAAGUCAAGAGCUGACUCUAGAAGUUUGUCUUCUGACUACCACACACACGCUGUGCCACGCCUGUCUCCCUCCCCAGGGAAUGAGUAAGUAGCGGGAAAGCAUCGAACCACUUCCAAACCAUUGCACUCUCUCGAUCUGAACACCCAGGCUAGGGUCUUAGACACUGAGCAUUAAGGCUUCUCAGUUACAAGGUGGGGGCUUCCAAGUUAGUAGGACAAUGGACUCAUACGAUGCCAGGACCAUGGCAGGUGCCCACAGUCAGUGGGGCUUUCUUUUAUCACGACCAUCAUCUGGAGACACAUGAAUCAGAUCAGUUCUUCUGUGGCCUCUUGGCGGUGUACCGAUUCUGCCUUUUUUACUUGUGGCCUGGAGAAAUAGCGAUUCCCAACUUCCUAAGGCAGUAUUUCAAGAUUCACUGACUGUGUGUGUACCUGUGAUUCUCAAGUGUGCCUACCUACCGCCAUCAGUAAAUGGUGGCAAAGAGUAUGACCUGUUCUCAUCGGAACUCAUGUUGAAGUUUAAUUCCAGAUGCAAGAAAAGCCAUCAGUGUCCCCUGUUCUCCACUGUCACAAUAUUAGUUUGUCUGCCCUGCCUCACACUGCCCACCAUGAUGCAGGGGACCCACUGAAGUCAUCAACGAAGUAAGUCUUUCUCUCACUUAAAUUGUUUCUGUCAGGCGUUUUCUCAGAGCAGUGGACAAAAUGAGUAAUAAAAAUUGGGUUGAGUUUGUUCUCUUGAAGAGUUGGCUACAAAAAACAAAAAAAACAAAACAAAAACUAAGCUUCUUUCCUUGCCACCUCUUAUGUUCUUCAUGUGUGUCCCCCCUCUCACCCUUCCCCUUCUCUCCGUUAGCUUCCGCCUGACACGUGAUGCAGCCAGGGAACCCUCACUGAACCUUCUAGCCAUCAGAAUCGGGGCUCAGGUUCCAGAGCUGGUGUCACAUACCCUUGCCUCAGCCUAGAGGUUUGCCUAUCAGGAAACAAGGCUGGCACCUUCUACAGCGGGUUCUGGGAUUUAGGAUUAGCCAGGAAUCAGCACAGUCUGGGAGAGCAAUGGAAGAUCACAGUAUUCACGAACAAGGACAGAUUGACCCGGGACAGGACACAGAACAUACUGUUCCGAGCCAUGGAGCAGAGAAAGGUUUCUCAGUGUCUACCCCACAGACUGGCAGCAUCUAUCCCUCUUUUCGGUGACAGAACUCUUGACUGCCACAAGUCAUGCAGCUGACUUUCCUGCCUUCAGAGGAGUCACGGGUUAACAUGCCUAGACUGCGAUGGAUGAGCCUCAUCUUGGGAAAAUCACCCUCAUGACCACGAGAUCUCCCCUGCCAGGAGGAGCAACAGUGUGGCAUAAAGUUAACCAUGAUCCUAGGAGUCACACAGCCCAGGCUCAAACAUGACUUCUUGUUUCCAGCUGAUCAGUCCGUCUUAGAUGUGAUGUGAUCAGCUGCCUUAAACUCCUGUAGAUUUGACUUCCUGGCUGUGACCGUCUUCACCUUGAACUGAACUGACAACCUCUCCCUCAUGGAGGACUCCCAGCCAGCCAGUAUCAGCCACGGAUGCUCGCCCUAGCAUCUCUCAAGCCCUUGCUGGGAUAUUGUGGGUCACUAGACUGCAGAGCGACAGCAGAGGUGUGUGGCCAUUUCUUGCUCGUGGUGGCAAAUGCAGGGUGCAGGACUUCUAUGGAGAUGCUCGGCUUUUCUGGGUACACUGCUUCUCAUUGUGUAAAUACGAAAUGUCCUCCAGAAGCCAUGUUUGAACCCUUAAGCCCCACGUGGUGACGGCGGGAAGGCGACAGAACCAUUAGGGUGCUGCUUUGCUGGAAGUGCUUCAUCGCUUGGCUUUGGUAUUUUAGUUGGCAUUUGUCUAUUUUUACUUUAUAUUUUCUUUCUCUGCUUCCUGGGUGUGAACGAAAUGGGAUCACUCUGCUCCCUGGCUGCCGAGCCAGCCUCUCGUUCCGGCAUUGGUGUGCUUUCCCCGCUAGGAUAGACUCUACGUCAUCUGGAACUGUAAGCCAGAAUAAACCAUUUCUUCGGCAAGCUACCCUGUUGUAGUAAUUGUUAGAAAAGAAUCUAGCAUGGCAUUAGCGGGUACAUUCAUCUCAGCAGCUGCCUGUCCCAGGGUACCCUGUCAUGCUACCCCCAACUAUUUCCUGUCCCCAGCGGUCUGUCCACCCCAGGUAGUCGCAUGCCAUGGCCGCCCCUUCCUGGCUGGCUCUCUGCCUCGAACUCUGCUCACAUUCCCUGUAACCUGGUAAAAUCGAGACCCAAAAAGCUUAUUAAUUUAGCAAUCAGAUUUAUAUGUUGAAUUUUCAAUCCACAAUACAUCCACACAAUAAACUCAGAGCCGAGUGA
Molecule: small RNA, 4635 nt
Filed under: Rattus norvegicus (Norway rat)
Lineage: Eukaryota; Metazoa; Chordata; Mammalia; Rodentia; Muridae
Description: uncharacterized LOC102552764
Source: RNAcentral